Non-coding RNA from Hordeum vulgare subsp. vulgare (domesticated barley), 125 nucleotides. NCBI's taxonomy places the organism in Eukaryota, Viridiplantae, Streptophyta, Magnoliopsida, Poales, Poaceae. The record is from Rfam.
CAAAUACUCCCUCCAUCCGGAAUUACGUCUCGCACAAAUGUAUAAAAAUGGAUGUAUCUAGAACUAAAAUACAUCUAGAUACAUCCAUUCCUAUGAAAAGUAUUUUCGGACGGAGGGAGUAGUUU